This is a long non-coding RNA of Hevea brasiliensis (rubber tree), 1540 nucleotides long. RefSeq lists it as uncharacterized. NCBI's taxonomy places the organism in Eukaryota, Viridiplantae, Streptophyta, Magnoliopsida, Malpighiales, Euphorbiaceae. The record is from RefSeq and is a predicted model, not a curated record. The transcript has 2 exons.
AGAGUUGAAAGGAGCUAAUAGAGGUAAGUCUCUUUCUCCUAAGUUAAACUGAUUAUUACUUAUGGAAAUGAUGUGAGCAAGUAGAAAUUAACUUAAAAAUUGAAAAAUUAUGCAUGUUGGGAAGAGAUGAAAUUUUGGCCAGCCAUAAAAUUCUAGGGUUUUAAAGUGUUUCGAUCUAAUUAAACAUGAAUUAGAACUUGUUGGGAGUAGUAGACAUAAUUGAGAUAGUGUGCAUGAUUAGUGACAAUUGGAAAAAUUAGGGUUUAUGGUGAUUAGGGUUUUGGGAGAAAUUAGGGGUUUUUAAGAAUUAUUGACCAAUUGAUGUUGUGAUGCUCAAUAAUGGUAAAUUGGUGUACUUAUAAGUGUAAAUUGAUGAAUGAAGUUGGAAUAAAUUGUGAAUGUAGCAUGGAUGAAUUCUGGACAAAUGAGUCUAGCUAGUUUAAAUGGCUAUAAGUUGAAGUGUGUUGCUUCAAUUGGAGAUAAAAUUAGGGUCAUAAUGCUACAUUUUUUAUGAAGGAAUCUUGCCCAAAAACUGACCAUAAAUUGAUCUAAAAUUUAGUUGAAUACAGAAUUGGUGCCUUGAUUCUGGGCAGAAUUAACCAAAUGAACAGUACAUAUUCAAAUGGUCAUAACUUUGUGUAGAGAGGUCCAAAUGACCUAUUUUUUAAACCAUUGGAAAGCUUAGAUAUAGUAGAACAACUUUCGUGGAGAAUAGAAAUCCAAAUUCUGACAAUAACCUAGUCAAAUUGCUAACCAAAAUUAGGUCACUAAAACUGCCAGAACCAAAAACUUGCCCAGAAAAUCUGGAAAUGACUAAUCCGGCCAGUUAUGGUAAAAAUACUAUAAAUUGAGCUACAAAACUCCAAAUGGAGUGAUUCAAAAAGAGAAUUAAACUAGACACAUUAAGGAACAACUUUGAUAAAAGUUUAGCCAAAUUUCCACUGUAGAUUGGUUCAAUGGAAUAAUAAACAUUAGUGACUAAAUCUAAAAUUUUGAGAUUAAUUCUAAUAGACUUUGAAUUGCAAUUGACAACCAAUGCUAACAAAUUUGUGACCCAAAAUGUGGUAUGACCAUGUGUUUAGAAAUCGUAUACCUAUUAAUUAUAAAAAAGUCAACAUGUUAACAUGAAUAAUCAAGUGAAUAGUAAUCACAAAUACACCAAAUGUAAAGAACUCAAUCCUUAAGAGAAAUUAUGAGUAAAAUUGAGUAGGCAAAAAUUCAAUUGUUGGAUUUAGUAUUAGAAAUGGUUUGAAUGGGUAUUGAAACACUUUCAAAUUAUGUGUUUCAGUUGAAAAGGAGCCCUCCAAGAAAGGAGGAAGAGGGGACUAAGUCAAGGCAAACAUAAGAGAUGGGGAGAAGAAUAAAGCAGCAGAGUGAGUUGCUAAAGUUGCAGGAAAAAAAAUCUAUUUUUGGGCUUUUUACGGGUAUAACACUUUAUACCCUUAUAAAUUUCUUUUUGAUGUAAAUUUUUGUUCAUAUGUAUCUAUUGAACUAGAUGAGCAGUUGUAUAAUUAAAAUUAUAAUAAUAAUAUUUUGUUCU